GACGAACGCUGGCGGCGUGCUUAACACAUGCAAGUCGAACGAAGUGGCGAACGGGUGAGUAACGCGUAAGCAAACUGCACUUCAGUGGGGGACAACAGUUGGAAAAGACUGCUAAUACCGCAUAAGGAGGGAGGGGAUUGCGUCUGAUUAGCUAGUUGGAGGGGUAACGGCCCACCAAGGCGAUGAUCAGUAGCCGGUCUGAGAGGAUGAACGGCCACAUUGGGACUGAGACACGGCCCAGACUCUUACGGGAGGCAGCAGUGGGGAAUCUUCCGCAAUGGACGAAAGUCUGACGGAGCAACGCCGCGUGAGUGAUGACGGCCUUCGGGUUGUAAAGCUCUGUUAUUCGGGACGCGGUACCGGAAUAGAAAGCCACGGCUAACUACGUGCCAGCCGCCGCGGUAAUAC
This 408-nucleotide ribosomal RNA is filed under the name uncultured bacterium. Its description in RNAcentral is "partial 16S ribosomal RNA". It matches the Rfam family "Bacterial small subunit ribosomal RNA", at positions 28 to 526 of the family's 1533-position model. The record is from RNAcentral.